CUGCUUUUGUGGUUGAGGUGGUUGUGUGCGUCGCUUGUGUCUGAGGAUGAUGGGUUUGAAUUCUGAGAGUUGGUGC
RNAcentral lists this unclassified non-coding RNA (76 nucleotides) under Leishmania tarentolae. Its description in RNAcentral is "snoRNA". The record is from RNAcentral. Lineage: Eukaryota; Euglenozoa; Kinetoplastea; Trypanosomatida; Trypanosomatidae.